UAGCUAGUUGGUGAGGUAAAGGCUUACCAAGGCGACGAUCUGUAGCGGGUCUGAGAGGAUGAUCCGCCACACUGGAACUGAGACACGGUCAGACUCCUACGGGAGGCAGCAGUGGGGAAUUUUGGACAAUGGGGGCAACCCUGAUCCAGCCAUGCCGCGUGAGUGAAGAAGGCCUUCGGGUUGUAAAGCUCUUUCGGCCGGGAAGAAAUCGCAUGGGCCAAUACCCUGUGUGGAUGACGGUACCGGAAUAAGAAGCACCGGCUAACUACGUGCCGGCAGCCGCGGUAAUACGUAGGGUGCGAGCGUUAAUCGGAAUUACUGGGCGUAAAGCGUGCGCAGGCGGUUUUGUAAGACAGGCGUGAAAUCCCCGGGCUUAACCUGGGAACUGCGUUUGUGACUGCAAGGCUAGAGUACGGCAGAGGGGGGUGGAAUUCCACGUGUAGCAGUGAAAUGCGUAGAGAUGUGGAGGAACACCAAUGGCGAAGGCAGCCCCCUGGGUCGAUACUGACGCUCAUGCACGAAAGCGUGGGUAGCAAACAGGAUUAGAUACCCUGGUAGUCCACGCCCUAAACUAUGUCAACUAGGUGUUGGGUGGGUAAAACCAUUUAGUACCGUAGCUAACGCGUGAAGUUGACCGCCUGGGGAGUACGGCCGCAAGGUUAAAACUCAAAGGAAUUGACGGGGACCCGCACAAGCGGUGGAUGAUGUGGAUUAAUUCGAUGCAACGCGAAAAACCUUACCUACCCUUGACAUGCCAGGAACUUGCCAGAGAUGGCUUGGUGCCCGAAAGGGAGCCUGGACACAGGUGCUGCAUGGCUGUCGUCAGCUCGUGUCGUGAGAUGUUGGGUUAAGUCCCGCAACGAGCGCAACCCUUGUCGUUAAUUGCCAUCAUUUAGUUGGGCACUUUAACGAGACUGCCGGUGACAAACCGGAGGAAGGUGGGGAUGACGUCAAGUCCUCAUGGCCCUUAUGGGUAGGGCUUCACACGUCAUACAAUGGUCGGUACAAAGGGUUGCCAAGCCGCGAGGCGGAGCCAAUCCCAGAAAGCCGAUCGUAGUCCGGAUUGCAGGCUGCAACUCGCCUGCAUGAAGUCGGAAUCGCUAGUAAUCGUGGAUCAGCAUGUCACGGUGAAUACGUUCCCGGGUCUUGUACACACCGCCCGUCACACCAUGGGAGCGGGUUCCGCCAGAAGUAGGUAGCCUAACCGCAAGGGGGGCGCUUACCACGGCGGGGUUCGUGACUGGGGUGAAGUCGUAACAAGGUAGCCGUAGGGGAACCUGCGGCUG
This 1286-nucleotide ribosomal RNA is filed under the name metagenome. Its description in RNAcentral is "bacterial SSU rRNA". It matches the Rfam family "Bacterial small subunit ribosomal RNA", at positions 242 to 1520 of the family's 1533-position model. The record is from RNAcentral.